GUGCAAAUGAUGUGAACUUUAAUUCCACUGACUGAGGUGAUGUUUCCAAAGGAACCACUGAUGCAC
This 66-nucleotide small nucleolar RNA is filed under the name Acanthisitta chloris (rifleman). RNAcentral's name for it is "Small nucleolar RNA SNORD42". It matches the Rfam family "Small nucleolar RNA SNORD42". From Rfam's summary of the family: snoRNA U42 is found in intron 3 of the ribosomal protein L23a (RPL23a) gene in humans and is also present in mice. Lineage: Eukaryota; Metazoa; Chordata; Aves; Passeriformes; Acanthisittidae. The record is from Rfam by way of RNAcentral.